GGCCUCCCAAAGUGUUGGGAUUACAGGCUUGAGUCUUACUUUGAAUUAUGCAGAAGGAAAAGGAGAUGAAGCUCAAGUGGAACUGCAGUGGGUUGAAGAGAAAUAACGUGAUGUGAA
This is a long non-coding RNA of Sapajus apella (tufted capuchin), 117 nucleotides long. RefSeq lists it as uncharacterized. The transcript is spliced from 3 exons. Lineage: Eukaryota; Metazoa; Chordata; Mammalia; Primates; Cebidae. The record is from RefSeq and is a predicted model, not a curated record.